This 964-nucleotide ribosomal RNA is filed under the name uncultured bacterium. Its description in RNAcentral is "bacterial SSU rRNA". It matches the Rfam family "Bacterial small subunit ribosomal RNA", at positions 478 to 1443 of the family's 1533-position model. The record is from RNAcentral.
UNUUACCAGAAAGGGACGGCUAANUACGUGCCAGCAGCCGCGGUAAUACGUAGNUCCCGAGCGUUGUCCGGAUUUAUUGGGCGUAAAGCGAGCGCAGGCGGUUAGAUAAGUCUGAAGUUAAAGGCUGUGGCUUAACCAUAGUACGCUUUGGAAACUGUUUAACUUGAGUGCAGANGGGGAGAGUGGAAUUCCAUGUGUAGCGGUGAAAUGCGUAGAUAUAUGGAGGAACACCGGUGGCGAAAGCGGCUCUCUGGUCUGUAACUGACGCUGAGGCUCGAAAGCGUGGGGAGCGAACAGGAUUAGAUACCCUGGUAGUCCACGCCGUAAACGAUGAGUGCUAGGUGUUAGGCCCUUUCCGGGGCUUAGUGCCGCAGCUAACGCAUUAAGCACUCCGCCUGGGGAGUACGACCGCAAGGUUGAAACUCAAAGGAAUUGACGGGGGCCCGCACAAGCGGUGGAGCAUGUGGUUUAAUUCGAAGCAACGCGAAGAACCUUACCAGGUCUUGACAUCCCGAUGCCCGCUCUAGAGAUAGAGUUUUACUUCGGUACAUCGGUGACAGGUGGUGCAUGGUUGUCGUCAGCUCGUGUCGUGAGAUGUUGGGUUAAGUCCCGCAACGAGCGCAACCCUUAUUGUUAGUUGCCAUCAUUCAGUUGGGCACUCUAGCGAGACUGCCGGUAAUAAACCGGAGGAAGGUGGGGAUGACGUCAAAUCAUCAUGCCCCUUAUGACCUGGGCUACACACGUGCUACAAUGGCUGGUACAACGAGUCGCAAGUCGGUGACGGCAAGCUAAUCUCUUAAAGCCAGUCUCAGUUCGGAUUGUAGGCUGCAACUCGCCUACAUGAAGUCGGAAUCGCUAGUAAUCGCGGAUCAGCACGCCGCGGUGAAUACGUUCCCGGGCCUUGUACACACCGCCCGUCACACCACGAGAGUUUGUAACACCCGAAGUCGGUGAGGUAACCUUU